AGAAGGUAGAAGAAGAGGGGGAGGAGAAAGAGAAAGAAGAGUAAGAGGAGGGGGAAGAAAGACAAGGGGAAGAGGGGGAGGAGGAGGACGGGGAGGAGCUUCGCCGCGGCCUGCUCCGCCCAGCCGGGGUCGGUGGCCGCAUGGCUUCGGUCUCCUCUGCGACCUUCUCGGGCCACGGGGCUCGGUCCCUACUGCAGUUCCUGCGGCUGGUAGGGCAGCUCAAGAGAGUCCCACGGACUGGCUGGGUAUACAGAAAUGUCCAGAGGCCGGAGAGCGUUUCGGAUCACAUGUACCGGAUGGCAGUUAUGGCUAUGGUGAUCAAAGAUGACCGUCUUAAUAAAGACCGGUAAGCUGAGCUGGACUUUGAUGCUCGUGAGAGAUUCUGGUCUAUGGGUGUGCACCUGUCUUUACCACUGAGACCCGUGUCAAAUCCUUGUAGGUUAGUUUAUCGGUCAAGAAAAAUUAUUUGAAGCAAACCAUACAAAUUUAGGAUGUGGGUUAUGUUGCCUCAGUUGUUGUAAACUGCAGUCUGGGGUCUCUGUUGGCAAGUGAUAGAGCCUGCCUAGGGUAUCAGAGGAAACUUAAGUGUGAUAUUGGGGCCUUGAAG
RNAcentral lists this small RNA (607 nucleotides) under Pongo abelii (Sumatran orangutan). Its description in RNAcentral is "processed transcript". The record is from RNAcentral. Lineage: Eukaryota; Metazoa; Chordata; Mammalia; Primates; Hominidae.